This 313-nucleotide ribosomal RNA is filed under the name uncultured bacterium. RNAcentral describes it as "bacterial SSU rRNA". It matches the Rfam family "Bacterial small subunit ribosomal RNA", at positions 209 to 507 of the family's 1533-position model. The record is from RNAcentral.
AUCUUCGGACCUCACGCUAAUAGAUGAGCCUAGGCCGGAUUAGCUAGUUGGUAGGGUAAAGGCCUACCAAGGCGACGAUCCGUAGCUGGUCUGAGAGGAUGAUCAGCCACACUGGAACUGAGACACGGUCCAGACUCCUACGGGAGGCAGCAGUGGGGAAUAUUGGACAAUGGGCGCAAGCCUGAUCCAGCCAUGCCGCGUGUGUGAAGAAGGCCUUCGGGUUGUAAAGCACUUUAAGCGAGGAGGAAGGUCUUUAAGCUAAUAUCUUAAAGAAUUGACGUUACUCGCAGAAUAAGCACCGGCUAACUCUGUG